This 358-nucleotide ribosomal RNA is filed under the name Waitea circinata. RNAcentral's name for it is "LSU rRNA". It matches the Rfam family "Bacterial large subunit ribosomal RNA", at positions 1743 to 2086 of the family's 2925-position model. Lineage: Eukaryota; Fungi; Basidiomycota; Agaricomycetes; Corticiales; Corticiaceae. The record is from RNAcentral.
AAGAGGGACCGCUUAGAAAAUAAUAUAACCAAAAUAUUAUAAAUAUGUAGCGGUGGCAGAAAAUCGGAGGCCCCGACUGUUUCCUAAAAACACAACACAGUGCAAUGAUUAAUAUCAUAGUAUACUGUGUGAAAUUUGCCCAAUGCCAUUAACAUAAGAGAGGUAAUAGGUAACUGUUACUAAUCGAAAGUCUGGUUAAUAGCGGUCUUAACUAUGAGGAUCCAAAGGUAGCAAAAUAAAUUGGCCAUUAAAUGUGGUCCGGUAUCAAUAAUGUAACGAUGGCCUCACUGUCUCUACAACUUGCUCAGUGAAAUUGAAUUAGCCGUGCAGAUGCGGCUUACCUCCAGUGGGACGGGAA